UAUCUCUGCCAGCCCAAGAUGGAUCCAGACCAGUGGUCUAGAGGCAAAAGGUUCUAUAUCCCAUUACCAACCUCCCCACAUCAUUCAGGCCCCUGACUGUAAGAAUUCUGAGUAAUUCAUGUCCCUUAUUAGAAUCUCAGGCAAGAAAACGAGAGAAUUUUGAGAUGCCUGUGACACCGGAGUUCUGCUGCACAGCAAAUAUAGUCACAGGGCUUCAUCAUAUAGAACACUCUUGGAGCGAGAGCAUUCAGAUUCUUCCAGUGGCCGGGUGAGGAAGUUGCCUCUCAGCAAGGACAAAAGGGAAAUGAGGGAAAUUUUACAAGAAAAUUUUCAUUUUAGUUAAAAAGCCAUUUUCCACCAAAACAUUUUUCAGUGAAAAAAUUUGAACUGACUAAAAUACCCUGACCUCAGUCCUGAGGAACAGCCUAAAGCUGGAAACGGGGGAA
Molecule: long non-coding RNA, 446 nt
Filed under: Chrysemys picta bellii (western painted turtle)
Lineage: Eukaryota; Metazoa; Chordata; Testudines; Emydidae
Description: lncRNA (ENSCPBG00000027956.1)
Source: RNAcentral